AUGACGAGUCUGGCCAACAACCAAUCUAAUCACAUGGUCUGGGGCUAUAUACUACCUGUUGUUGACUCGUGUUCUUCCAUCGCAACAGAGAAAAAGCAUCUUGCUGCUGCUUUCAGUUUACAUACACGACAUGCCACCGAUGCCGGCCGUGACCAUGCCGACCGUGUGCCGACCGUGCACGUGGUCACCAUGCCCAGCGUGCCGCAGGUGACAUUGCCGCCUAUGGGUGCCGUUCCUUCCGUGCCCAAGGUGAUGAUGCCACCGAUGCCCGCCAUCGUCGUGCCCAACGUGACCAUGGCGCCGAUGCCCACAAUCGCCGUACCCAAGGUGAUGAUGCCACCGAUGCCCGCCAUUGUUGUUCCCAAGGUGACGAUGCCGCAGAUACCUGCUAUCCCGAGCAUCAACGUACCUACGCCGUUCUUGGCGCCGCCCCCCUCUGCAUAG
This 444-nucleotide ribosomal RNA is filed under the name Triticum aestivum (bread wheat). RNAcentral describes it as "partial small subunit ribosomal RNA". Lineage: Eukaryota; Viridiplantae; Streptophyta; Magnoliopsida; Poales; Poaceae. The record is from RNAcentral.